CCAGCAAAAACACAACCACAAAUUAUGCCCGUGCUGUGCCUCUCGCAGCAAAGACAAGCGGUGUGGGGUUUUGGAGGAAGCUACACUUCUCGUCGGGGGAGAAAGGGAUUCCUGUGGAGCUGUACUUGUUUUACAUCCAUGUGAACUGCUGUCAUCACUACUGUGUCCAAGCCCAGAGGAUGAACUGGAAAAGAAGAGAGGGGGAAAAUAAUAAAAAGAGGAAAUUGGUUUUCACAACACACUCAAAGCCUGAGUAACAGAGGAGAACUUUAAUUAUCUCCAGUCACAAAGAGAGACAGGAAAUUUGGACUUUUAAUUAGCCAUUUGGAGUGCAGUUGGAUAUUUUUUUAGCUAGAUAAUUUAAACGCGAAUAAUUCAAGUCUGACUAAAUGAAAGUCACAUAAUCAGAAUGCAGAUAAUUGAAUUUCUACUGCAUUCAUUAAUUCGGUGUGGAGGUGUGUGUGAAGACUACUAUGAUGAGCUGUCACAGCUCAAUAAAAUCUCAGUCAAUUAAUUUUUUCAUUAUCUUAGUAUUACAUCAACAAAAAAGUGAAGUACGUGUAUAUUUCUAUAGACAUGCAUAUGUGCAGUAUGUGUUAUAUAAAUACAUACACAUUCAAUCAAAACGCAAGGAAAUACCUUUCUGAAUCAUAAUCUAUAUCAUUUUCUUUUUUUCCUUCUUCAUCUUCUUCGGGGAAACGUCUGUUCAUCAAGGCAAACUUGUGAAUUGCUUCUUCCACAGAGUACUUAGUCUGCCCAGAAACACACGCCUCAAUGUCUUCUGAAUUCAGCUGGCUCUGCAAGAAGAGGUGAAGGCUGCUAUCUGAAAGCAACAGUGCAUUUUGUAGGACUCUAUGGAAAGGAAAAAAAGGAAAAAUAAUCGGUGAACAGGAAUGGUCAGUUAUAGGGUAGGAGAAAGAAAAACAUUAGAAAUGUACCGCUGAAGUAAUUUCUCUACUGUGGUAAACUUUGCAUCAAUUAUGGGCUCUGCCUAUUAAAGGGAUGAAAGCAUAUGUUAACUUUUAUUCAAUUAUUUGGAAAUUUAGGUGAGUCAAAACAUGAAGCUAAUAGUUAAGAACAUCUGUUAAAAGAAUAACUUCAAGGACAUUUCUUCAAUUUAACCAUCUGUUAUGACCAUGUGGAUUAAUUAUGGAAAUAUUUUGCUUAUAUAGUCAUAGAAAUUUAUUCUACUUAAAAAAAAUUUAUUGCCAACAGCAUGUCAAUUCAGUGAUCUUUAUUGGAUAGGCUGCCAUGAAACAUCAAAACUUUCAACUACUAUUAAAAAUUAUAUGAAAAAGUCAA
Lemur catta (Ring-tailed lemur) is the source of this 1302-nucleotide long non-coding RNA. RefSeq lists it as uncharacterized. The transcript has 2 exons. The record is from RefSeq and is a predicted model, not a curated record. Lineage: Eukaryota; Metazoa; Chordata; Mammalia; Primates; Lemuridae.